GUCGGGUUGGCUGGGCUGGGGUUGGCGAAACAGAGGGGCGGCAGCGCAGAGACGGGUGUGGUGUGUGGAAGGAGGGAAGGGGAGCGAGAAGGGCGAAGGGCUCCGGAGGGAGGCGGCGGGGCGGCUGUGUGCCCGGGGUGUUACCGGCGGUGGCGGGCGCGGGCGAAGCAGGUGUUGGCGUCGGCGGCGGCGCGCCGGCUGCUCAGGAGGCUGCUCGUCGUCCUGCGGAGGAGGAGCAGGAGGAGACUGCUGCUGCCGCCGCUGCUCCUUCUCCUCCUCUACCUCCAGCUCCCAAGGCUUCUCCUCCUCCGCCAGCGGCUGCUCGGUCGCCGGUCCCUCGGGGGGCGUCGUCGCCCCUCCCCGCCGUCCUUCCCGGGCUAAUGGUAGUCGGAGUUCUUUCAGACGUUCCACACGUUCUUCUGCCCCGUACUCCGUCCCAAGUUCCCCCGCCACAUGUAGCUAACGGGGUACUUCGGAACGAAGGAUACGUUCUACGGUCCAGGACUAUAGACAUUGAUACAUACGAACAAACAAAGAUGAAACCCUAACCCCUCAUCUUCUUGAGUUGUCAUAACAUUAAACUCAACAGCUCAAUCUUUUACCGUCAUAUAGGGUCACUCUUCGCCCAUCAAGUCCUUGAGACAAAAUACUUAAUCAUGAAGGAACACAUGUACGAGUGUCCUCAAAUCAGAUUGACGAACAAGGUCUAUGAAUAUUUAUUUUCAAAGGUGAAAAUAAGUCCGUUCUCCCUAUGUUUAACAUACCAUAACUACUUGGCGGUGUAUGAUAAAAGAGUACAUAGACGUAUGUCCACAGAGUAUCGACAAAGGAAACUGACGAACUGUCAUAACUACAUAACGGUAAAUCAUGAACUUUCGAACUGUACCUACCUCUGAAAGGCUCAGUGACUAUGACACUACGAAAGAUGCAAACGCGAAACGUCCAGUAUGCUGGAACUGAACGGGUGUAUCCCAUCGCUACCUCGUACCACAGUAGGGUCGGGGAUCUUCCUUGUGUUUGUGAAGUGACCUAAUGCAGAAGGUCUCAGUUCACUUUCCGUUCUAGAGGUACCAAUUCGGAGCCAAAGAUCAUGGAUUGGUUAACCUCACACCAUUGUAUUUUAAAGUGGUUUCUGCACACUGGACGAACCUUAAAGUAGGUUGAUUCUUGUUACACGAAAAUAGUCCUCUGUUCUUUCCCGAUGAUCCGUAAACCCUAAUACAAUUCAACGUACUCUUCUAAUGAAUACUAAGACACGUGAGGACGUAAGACUUGUCAUACUUCAAGCUGUGGCGGUUACUACCUCACGAUAUGUGUCGAAGAAGACUACCCUGAUAGUCGUCGUGUCUGAAUCUGUGACCUUAACCAAGCGGGAACAAUUUAGAGUUGGGUCUACCAACCUCACCAGGUUCGUGAACCGCGUACUAUAUACCCUACCUGAAUUUGUGGCUCUUUCCAGAAGAAAACCACCGUCUAUCAAAACCCAAAGAAAUGAAUAACCUAUCUGCCAGCUUCCUUUCUUAGCCCGUUGGUUAAGAAUAUGUAUUUUUUCCAUCGUUCCAUUGACCGGAAGUAACGUUGGGACGUGUUGGACUUCAAGAAGACUCGUCGCCCUUACUAGUGAAACGGGCAUAAACCCUAUGUUCCUUUGAACUAGGGUUCAGGCGAGAACGGUCGGAACGAGUACCUGCCCAACAAUUAAGUCCUAUAAAAAGAGGUGCUUCACCCUUAUUCUAGUACUGUUGUACAGUCCUGUUAGCUUAAGCACAAACCCUAAUAUAAAAACCAUUAGACCUUAGGGGUUCAUCUCUUUAACAAGUGUCGGUACUAAAGUUAGCAGUGGACUGAGGGAAGUUUCGUCUCACCCUAGGUUUCCUAAUGAGUCUUUGUCAACGUCAAUAACCAGCAAUGUAUUCACUUUUGAUGUUACCCCAACGAGAUGUAGGGUAACUAAAGUAUCUGUGGUCGUGACCCUUCGAAGACCGGCUCCACUACCUGGGGCUGUAUUGGUGAUAGUCGGGUCACUUGUUCGAUGUAGGAGUUCUACUUUAGGAUCGAUGUCCUUCGAGUUCCAGGUAAAAGUAAACCUUUGGUUUCUCACUGUAGCUAGGGUGCCUCCUCUCCUGGUCGGUCUUCCAGUUCCUUAUACAUAUGCCCAGUCCAAGCGCCUUCUUUGGUUUACCGUUCGUGCUGUUGUCAUCACUACUGCUGAGCCUACCACCACCACCUUUCUCGUUCUUCCGCUUCUUCUGGGCGAAGUGAGUAUGCCGUUUCCCUUUCCCGUUUAGGUUUCGAACUACUAUCUACAUCAAUCACGUCGUCGAUAAAACCGUCUUUCUUGGAUAGCUGUCGGCGACGACCUCGAGUAAAACCCAUGGUAGAGGGCAGAAUCAGGAUCGAAUUGUGCGACUUCGGGACACCAUCAUAUGGUGCUAGUAGAAUUCGUUGUUUGCAAAAUCUCAAUCAAAACACAACGAAAACUUAGGACUACACGACUUCGGAACACCAUGAUACCGUCAUACGGUGUCAGUAGAAUUCGUUGUUUGUAAAUCUCAAUCCAUACACAACGAAAACUUAGGACUACACGAAAUCCUCAACUUUAUACACAUAUAUACGAGGAAUAUAGACG
Molecule: ribosomal RNA, 2629 nt
Filed under: Triticum aestivum (bread wheat)
Lineage: Eukaryota; Viridiplantae; Streptophyta; Magnoliopsida; Poales; Poaceae
Description: partial small subunit ribosomal RNA
Source: RNAcentral